This 78-nucleotide non-coding RNA is filed under the name Limnospira indica PCC 8005. The record is from RNAcentral. Lineage: Bacteria; Bacillati; Cyanobacteriota; Cyanophyceae; Oscillatoriales; Sirenicapillariaceae.
AGGAGCCGUGUGAUGUGAAAGUAUCAAGCACGGUUUUGAAUGGGAGUUGGGAAAGGUGACUUUCCUUUCGACCCCUAC